RNAcentral lists this ribosomal RNA (304 nucleotides) under uncultured fungus. Its description in RNAcentral is "eukaryotic LSU rRNA". The record is from RNAcentral. Lineage: Eukaryota; Fungi.
AACGCACCUUGCGCCCCUUGGUAUUCCGAGGGGCACACCCGUUUGAGUGUCGUGGAAUUCUCAACUCAAAUGCUUUUGCGAGCAUUUGGGCUUGGACUUGGGGGUCUGCCGGCCUGUCUCGGCUCCCCUUGAAUGCAUUAGCUCGAGGUUGGCUUCGGGCGGUCCGUGGCGUGAUAGGUUUUUGUUACGUCUCGAUAAUUCCGUCUCGGAGCCGUGUGGCUUCGGCUUCGAAUCGUCCCUCUUGGGGGACUGACUCCAUCUUGAAUCUGACCUCAAAUCAGGCAGGACUACCCGCUGAACUUAA